GACGAACGCUGGCGGCGUGCUUAACACAUGCAAGUCGAACGGAAAGGCCCUGCUUUUGUGGGGUGCUCGAGUGGCGAACGGGUGAGUAACACGUGAGUAACCUGCCCUUGACUUUGGGAUAACUUCAGGAAACUGGGGCUAAUACCGGAUAGGAGCUCCUGCUGCAUGGUGGGGGUUGGAAAGUUUCGGCGGUUGGGGAUGGACUCGCGGCUUAUCAGCUUGUUGGUGGGGUAGUGGCUUACCAAGGCUUUGACGGGUAGCCGGCCUGAGAGGGUGACCGGCCACAAUGGGACUGCGAUACGGCGCAGACUCCUACGGGGGGCAGCAGUCGGAAAUCUUGCACAAUGGGCGGAAGCCUGAUGCAGCAACGCCGCGUGCGGGAUGACGGCCUUCGGGUUGUAAACCGCUUUCGCCUGUGACGAAGCGUGAGUGACGGUAAUGGGUAAAGAAGCACCGGCUAACUACGUG
RNAcentral lists this ribosomal RNA (468 nucleotides) under uncultured bacterium. Its description in RNAcentral is "partial 16S ribosomal RNA". It matches the Rfam family "Bacterial small subunit ribosomal RNA", at positions 28 to 507 of the family's 1533-position model. The record is from RNAcentral.